UACAGAGGGUGCUAGCGUUGUUCGGAAUUACUGGGCGUAAAGUGUGCGCAGGCGGCAGAGCAAGUCGAGUGUGAAAGCCCCGGGCUUAACUUGGGAAUUGCGCUCGAAACUACUUUGCUGGAGUGUGGCAGAGGAAGGUGGAAUUCCACGUGUAGCGGUGAAAUGCGUAGAGAUGUGGAGGAACACCAAUGGCGAAGGCAGCCUUCUGGGCCAACACUGACGCUCAUGCACGAAAGCGUGGGGAGCAAACAGG
This 253-nucleotide ribosomal RNA is filed under the name uncultured bacterium. RNAcentral's name for it is "partial 16S ribosomal RNA". It matches the Rfam family "Bacterial small subunit ribosomal RNA", at positions 524 to 776 of the family's 1533-position model. The record is from RNAcentral.